AGAUGAACGCUAGCUACAGGCUUAACACAUGCAAGUCGCGGGGCAGCAUUUCAGUUUGCUUGCAAACUGGAGAUGGCGACCGGCGCACGGGUGAGUAACACGUAUCCAACCUGCCGAUAACUCGGGGAUAGCCUUUCGAAAGAAAGAUUAAUACCCGAUGGUAUAAUCAGACCGCAUGGUUUGAUUAUUAAAGAAUUUCGGUUAUCGAUGGGGAUGCGUUCCAUUAGGCAGUUGGUGAGGUAACGGCUCACCAAACCUUCGAUGGAUAGGGGUUCUGAGAGGAAGGUCCCCCACAUUGGAACUGAGACACGGUCCAAACUCCUACGGGAGGCAGCAGUGAGGAAUAUUGGUCAAUGGGCGCAGGCCUGAACCAGCCAAGUAGCGUGAAGGAUGACUGCCCUAUGGGUUGUAAACUUCUUUUAUAUGGGAAUAAAGUUUUCCACGUGUGGAAUUUUGUAUGUACCAUAUGAAUAAGGAUCGGCUAACUCCGUGCCAGCAGCCGCGGUAAUACGGAGGAUCCGAGCGUUAUCCGGAUUUAUUGGGUUUAAAGGGAGCGUAGGUGGACAGUUAAGUCAGUUGUGAAAGUUUGCGGCUCAACCGUAAAAUUGCAGUUGAUACUGGCUGUCUUGAGUACAGUAGAGGUGGGCGGAAUUCGUGGUGUAGCGGUGAAAUGCUUAGAUAUCACGAAGAACUCCGAUUGCGAAGGCAGCUCACUGGACUGCAACUGACACUGAUGCUCGAAAGUGUGGGUAUCAAACAGGAUUAGAUACCCUGGUAGUCCACACAGUAAACGAUGAAUACUCGCUGUUUGCGAUAUACAGUAAGCGGCCAAGCGAAAGCAUUAAGUAUUCCACCUGGGGAGUACGCCGGCAACGGUGAAACUCAAAGGAAUUGACGGGGGCCCGCACAAGCGGAGGAACAUGUGGUUUAAUUCGAUGAUACGCGAGGAACCUUACCCGGGCUUAAAUUGCAUUUGAAUAAUCUGGAAACAGGUUAGCCGCAAGGCAAAUGUGAAGGUGCUGCAUGGUUGUCGUCAGCUCGUGCCGUGAGGUGUCGGCUUAAGUGCCAUAACGAGCGCAACCCUUAUCUUUAGUUACUAACAGGUCAUGCUGAGGACUCUAGAGAGACUGCCGUCGUAAGAUGUGAGGAAGGUGGGGAUGACGUCAAAUCAGCACGGCCCUUACGUCCGGGGCUACACACGUGUUACAAUGGGGGGUACAGAAGGCAGCUACCUGGUGACAGGAUGCUAAUCCCAAAAGCCUCUCUCAGUUCGGAUCGAAGUCUGCAACCCGACUUCGUGAAGCUGGAUUCGCUAGUAAUCGCGCAUCAGCCAUGGCGCGGUGAAUACGUUCCCGGGCCUUGUACACACCGCCCGUCAAGCCAUGAAAGCCGGGGGUACCUGAAGUACGUAACCGCAAGGAGCGUCCUAGGGUAAAA
This 1437-nucleotide ribosomal RNA is filed under the name uncultured organism. RNAcentral's name for it is "SSU rRNA". It matches the Rfam family "Bacterial small subunit ribosomal RNA". The record is from RNAcentral.